GCAAUACGGCAGCGGCAGACGGGAGAGUAACACGUGGGAACGUACCCUUCAGUUCGGAACAACCCAGGGAAACUUGGGCUAAUACCGAAUACGUCCGUAAGGAGAAAGAUUUAUCGCUGAAGGAUCGGCCCGCGUCUGAUUAGCUAGUUGGUGAGGUAACGGCUCACCAAGGCGACGAUCAGUAGCUGGUCUGAGAGGAUGAUCAGCCUCACUGGGACUGAGACACGGCCCAGACUCCUACGGGAGGCAGCAGUGGGGAAUAUUGGACAAUGGGCGCAAGCCUGAUCCAGCCAUGCCGCGUGGAUGAUGAAGGCCUUAGGG
Molecule: ribosomal RNA, 321 nt
Filed under: uncultured bacterium
Lineage: Bacteria
Description: bacterial SSU rRNA
Rfam family: Bacterial small subunit ribosomal RNA
Source: RNAcentral